AAAUCUUUCCUGCAAAAGUUCAUACUGUAGCUUGCAACAACAAUCAGUCACCGGCUUGAAUUAUAUUAUGUGCACUACAGUGUACCCAGUUUUCAAUGUACUAUUUAACACCAUAAGCCAACAAAUUGCAUAAAAUAUGGAAUGUUCAUCUCUAAUAAAAACCGCUGAAACAAAAAUCAUAACCAAAGAUCCAACCAAAAAUCAUAACCAGAACCUAUACCGCGUGCUUGGAAGCUACUUGAUGAAAUGCCUAAGAAAAAUAAACUAGAAAUAUAGAUGAAAAAGGUGAGUAAAAUCACUGGCGUACCUCAUAAUGUCCUCUUCAAGUGAAGGCUGAUGAUGGCUUGAAGAUGAAGAGUGAAAAUGGCGUAAAGAUGUCCGAUGAUCUUGAAUAUGAAGGCUAAUGGUGUCUGUCUCUGUCGGGCUUGAAGAACUGGUGAGAAAGAUGAAGGUGUGAUGCUAAGGACAGUGGAAAUCUCUGAGGUAGUGAGGUGAAAGAGGCGAUGGAUGCGGUGAGUGAGAGAGGCAGUGAAAUUGUGAAAGAGAGGGAGAGAGAGCAAGCUGAGUUGGUGAAUCAAGCGGCGGAGACAGAGGAAGG
Molecule: long non-coding RNA, 598 nt
Filed under: Coffea arabica (coffee)
Lineage: Eukaryota; Viridiplantae; Streptophyta; Magnoliopsida; Gentianales; Rubiaceae
Description: long non-coding RNA (CARA_LNC007610)
Source: RNAcentral